This is a long non-coding RNA of Vespula vulgaris, 27550 nucleotides long. RefSeq lists it as uncharacterized. The record is from RefSeq and is a predicted model, not a curated record. The transcript is spliced from 13 exons. NCBI's taxonomy places the organism in Eukaryota, Metazoa, Arthropoda, Insecta, Hymenoptera, Vespidae.
GUAAAUAUUAUGUUCACGUUUAAAAAUACCGAAAUGAAUUUAAGAUAGGUUUAACUUUUGGAAUGAUUAAACCUGUAGAUGUACAAAAGAUUUAUCGAUUUGUUCCAAGUUUACGUCACCUCGUCAUGGUUACUCCAUCAAAUUAAAUUAAGUAAUCAUUCGAUUAAAUUGAAAGUAGAUGAAAUGUUGAAUUAAUUUUCUUAAUUGUUUGUCCUAACAUUCGUAUCGUGUACUGAGAAAAUAUUCAUAAUAUUUCAUUUACAUUCGAUUAAAUUGAAAGUAGAAGAAAUGUUGAAUUAAUUUUCUUAAUUGUUUGUCAUAACAUUCGCAUCGUGUACUUAAAAAAUAUUCAGAAUAUUAAUUUACGUUUUAGAGUAAUAUUGUAAUAUCAACAAAUUUAUUUACUGCGUAGCCAGAAUUCUCUUGUUAAUACGUUUUAAUAGGCAAUUGAUGAAAAUGCAUUUGCGUAUUACAAUUUCCCAUAUGUAUCGUCGCGUACCUUCGAAUUAAACGAUUCGUUAUUAUUUCUCUCCAUCCGUGAGUGCUCUUAUGCGCGCUUGAAUAUGCCAGUUCAAGUGGAAGAAAUGAGUGCUCGCUCCUUUGAGCGUAUAUUUCCAGUCUGAUUUUGUAGAUAGGAAAAAUAUUUUUUCAUUUUUUUUCCCCUUAUCAAACCAUACAGACAAUUGGACGAUACGACUGGCUGUAUAACUCAAUUAGAUUUUAAAUCCAUUAUCUAAUUACCUGCACAUUUAAUUAAGUCUUCUGCAGAUCGAUGUACCACGCCUGCUUCAGUUCUAUCAUUCGAACGACUGCAUUUUCCUAAAAAUUUACCUCUUAUUGGAAAACUUAAAUGAAUGAUCCAAUCGUACUUCUUCUUAUCAAAUACUUGAUAUAUUAUGUUAUAAACUGUUAGUUCCUAUGGAAAUAUUAUAUUUCUGCAAUCGUUUAUUUCUUUUUACGUGUAACUGUGUAUAGCAGUGAUUUAUUAUAUUUUACGUAACAUAAUAUUUGAAUUUUCCGAAUUUAUCAUCGGAAUGAUUUAACUUCUUAAUGAGCGCACAGAUAACACUGACGUAACACUUGGUUAGUCAUUACUUAUCGACAUUAUUAAUAUACUUAUACUUAUCGACUUAAUACUUAUCGACAUAAACAAUUAGACAGGUAAUCGUAUUAUCCAAAUGUCUGCUUGGUUUGAUUAGAGGAAAACAAAUGAAAAAAUACCUGGCAUAUUUUCGAGACACGCGAGAAGUUAUACGCACACGCGCCCAUAGAAUCGCACAAUCAUCCCGUCCAUUUGAAUAAGCUCACGCAUGCGCAAAAGUACGCACCCAGAUGGAAAGAGAUAAUAAUAACACGUUCAAUAUGAAGGUACUUGACGAUAUAUAUAGGGGAAAAUAUUACGCACCUGCAGAUCAUUAUACCUCGAAUGAAUCAUUAAAACGAGAAUGCGAGAUAAGCAGCAAAUUAGUUGGUCGAAAUCCCUAUAUUAUUGAACACGUACAUUAAAUAUUAUAAACAUUCUUUAAGUGCAUAUCGUGAAUAUCAUGAUAACCAAUUUGGAAGAUUGAACUAAACAAUUCUUCUCUUUUCAAUUAUAUUAAAAAAUUAUUUAAACUGACUAUGAUAAUCGCUUUAAUAAUUAGUUUAACAAAUGGUUUAAAUAAUUAUUUAAACCGGUAUAACGUUGAUAUGAUGACGCAAACGUAUACUGAAUAUUCGACGUAUAAUUUAAAAGUGUUCCCUGGCUAACAUUAAUAUCCCGAAAAACGGUGAAUUUUUUAAUCGUACAUGCAGAAUUAAUCAUUUUCAAAGAUAAACCUUUCUGAAUACCAUUUCAAUUCCAUUUUAGUCCAGAUUCCGUUUGCAACAGCGAACUGUUCUUUAACAAAUAUCACUCAACAUAUUCGAUUACAUCCUCUAAAUAAAGCCUUUUUUUAAAUUCUUAAAGUUUGGAUCCUUUCAAUAAGAUAUAUUCCUUUUCCUCCUAUAACCCUUCGAAUGUAGCUUUAUAAAACAAUGCCAUAUUAACCUCGUCAAGGAUUUUUGUGACUGCCUUUAUAAAUGUUUUGUUUUCUUGCUGGUUAAUUUCGAUCAUAUAAUGAAGAUGGUGUGGAAAUCAAUACUACGGUUCACGUAAAGACUAGGACGAUGUUUGAAAAGGAAGCGUGCUGGGUUUGAAAAAAGCCUUCUUAUCAAACCCAGCACGUCGAUUGAUAAUAUGACAAGGAAGCUCUAAAAAUGUUUUGGAAACUAUUGAUGACUUUAGAUAAUUGAAUACUGCCGAUCGAUACUAUGUAUUUCAUUAUCCAAACAUAAGAUAUAUGGAUAUAUAUUUUCUUUUCUUCCUUUUUUUAUAUUCGAGUUAAAAUAUAAAGCGUCAUAUCACUGGCUAAGAACUGUAACAAAAAAGUAAAAAUGUUAAUGCACAACGCUUCCGAUGAUAACAUCCGACAACUUCGAAAUUUAAAUGAUUGGCACUCCAUGACAGGUGAAGAAUUUGAAAUGAUCAUAAUGAAAUAUAUAAUGGAUCAUAACGAAAAAGCAAAUACUUCUCAUGAUGAUGAAUUCACCAAUGAUAUUAUUUUUAAUAUGACCAAAAGAGAUAGGGAAAACAAUAUUUUUUGCAUGAGAAGCAUUUUUGGUCGAUUUUGACAGAUAGCAAUCAAAAAAUGUAUAAUUACGUUCACAAGAUAUUUUUAUUAUGAGAUAAUAUCAACAAGAAAACUAAUUUUUUUUUUAAUCAGUAUUAAUCUUUUGUAGGGAGCGAUCGAUAAAGUUGAAGCAAAAGACCAUGUUGCAAUACGCAGAUAUCCAAAGUCGAUUAUACCAUAUGAUAAUUAAAAAGGGAAAAAUAUUCAUCGAGAAAUCAAUUUCCCCUUAAUCCAUGUCCCAUUAGGCUCUUUCGGCUCGUUAGAUCGCGUAAUAGUAAAUUUUAAUCGACUUACAUAAAUCGUGUUCAAAUGAAAUACGUAAAGGAGAAAAAGAUAAUAUUACGAAAAAAAAAUUGUCUUCUCUGAAUACAAUCUUCAUUACAACGUCAUAAAAAAAGAGAGAUAUGUAAAAAAAGAGAGUGUUAACUUAAGUAAUAGAAGAAGAAUAGAAAAUAAUAUUACGAAAAAAAUUGUCAAACAAUAUUUUUUACUCAAAAUUAAUUUUUAUUGAUAUAUACUUUAACGUCAAGAACAGGAAGAAAUUUUCAAAAUUCUUUAGUUAACUUCUAAUUUCAGACUGUGAAAAGUAGGAACGAAAGAAGAACAUAGAAAAAAAGAAUAAUUAUUCAUCGAAUCAAUAAAUAUCAAUAGAGAAAUUCAUUUCCUCAGAGCUUAUGACCUUUUUGGUUCUUUCAAUCGUAUGAUAGGAAAUAUUGAUUAACCUACAUAAAACCCUGUAGCAGAGGGUUCCCUCCUGGUCGUUAGGUAAACUACCCAAAGGGAUUUGUGGGGUAUGAAUUGCCUGUAAGAAUAUGGCGAUAAAGCUGUGCGUCAUUCCUUCGGAAUUUGUCGAACUAGAAAUACGUGAGCGAGUGUCGUACAAGAAAUAUUUGUUACGUGUGUACUUCAUACGUUCCAAAGGGUAGUUUUACAAGGAGUUCAAGCGGUGGAAACAAUUUCUUCGUUUUCACUAGUCUUGUGUUUCUGUUAUCAAUAGAUAUACUAAAGGAAACGAAGGCGGAGGCAGGAAAAGUUCCAAUAGCCUGCAAGUAUUACAAAGGCCCGAGUUGACUGAUAUUUGAAUUAUAAUUCCAAAGAAGAUAUAUGAAAUUUCACUAUCUCGUGUUAAUGAAGUAUUCUAUAUCCGAAGUGAAACAUAUUUACUUUGGCCUGUUCUUCCUUAUAUCCGGCGAUAAAUCCUACAUGGAUAGUACAAAUGCAAUCAACCAGAUUAUGAUAUGAAAAGUUCCUUUUUCUUCUUAUAUUUAAGUGGAAGAUCAGUGAAUGGUUUGUUUAUCGAAUUUUAGAGAUACGAUUUUAUGAUAGCGACGAUAAUAUUUUUAUUAAUGAGUUGGACAUUAAGUCACUUAACUCUAGCUGUCAUAUAUGUAUUAUAUUAAUGUGUAUAAUUCAAGAACCCAUAUAUUUUUCACCUUUGUAAAGAAGAAUAUUUGAUAUGGGAAGCAAGAUGUUCGAUGAAAGAGAGGAGAUCGUAAAAGGGGCGGAGGUAGCUGACUCUGCUCACGAAUUUAUUAAAAAACUUGUAAAUGAUAUGGAACCCAAGUUGAUGAGAGAGGCACCAAAUUAUCCGACGUAUAGAAGUAAACAUGUUGCUACUGGUAGAGCAUUACUCUAGCAACCAUCGACAUCAAUAUUGAAUUUUAAUAAACGAGAGCGCAUUGGAUCGUGAAAUUAGAAGAGCGGUUCAAGAUGCAGAUAGAAUUUUAACCAAGGAAGGAACAUCGUUAGCGAUAGUUCAUAUAUGCAUUAUGUGAUUGGGAAUACCUAGGAAGAAGAAAAAGAAGAAAAAACAUUUGUGCUUGACGACGAAGUUUGGAAAGACCAUUAGGGCGUUAGUUUAUAAAGCGUCGGAAGGUAGUACGAGGAAAUGGGAGGGAUUUACUUCUCCCAAAGGAUCCAAACGUAAGGAGAAAGGAACGAAUCCAGAAAGAUAAUAUUUUCCGUGGAACUAUUUAGUUUGGAACAUAAUAUACGAAGUAUGUGAUAUAACGAAGCAUAAUUGGAUCAUUCCUUGAAAUUUUCCAGUGGGAAAUACAUUUUUCGGAAAAAGUAUUCGUUCGUAUGAAAGAACUAAAUUAGUCGUUAUUCAUCGAUCUGCAAACUAAUUAAUACUGCUAAAGGGGUAAUUGAAUUACACUGAUAAUACAAUGCUAUUAUCGAAUUGUUUGCUUCCUUUGAUGAGAGGAAAACAAAUGAAAAAAUACAUUCCUUCUUAUCCAAAUAAUGGAGGAGAUAUACGAACGCACGCUCCCAGUUCGCGCACGUAUUCCCGCCCACAUGGACUAGUGCGCAUGAGUGAACACAAGAGCACUGGUGCAUGAAGAGGGGUAAUAACAAAUCGUUUAAGCCGAAGGUACUUAACGGUACGUAUAGAAGAACGCAAUGUGUACAUGCAUUUUCAUUAAAUUCCAAUCGAAAGGUAUUUCCGCUACGUAAUAAAUUAACUCGCCCAAAUACUUAUAUUUCUGAUAGACGUCCAAUACACAUUAUGUUUAAUAAAUGACGUGAAUAUUCUGACAAACAAUAUGGAAUAUUGAACCAAACAUUUUUUCUCUGUUAAUUAUGUUGAAUAAUAAUAUAAACUGACGGUAUAACGAUGACACGGUGAGAUAACCGUACACUGCAUAUUUAACGCAUAAUUUCUAUCUACAUAUAUAUGAUCUAUAUUCGAGACUCUACAAUACAGAUCUUAUUACAUAAUUUCGUGUUUCAUACUAGGAUAUACCGUUUUAUAAGAUACGAUAGAAAGUUGUAUAGCUUUUGAUUAUUAUUUCACACUAUAUUUCAAACUGUGCAAUUCUUCUUCGAAAUGUUAUUGUAUAAUAUUGAACAGAAAAGAAAAGAAAAUUAGAGUUACCGGAUUUAUGGUAUGUUUGUUCAUACAUUUUUACGAUUUAAUCGUAUGAUCGUAUAUAGAGCCGACCGUAGUGCAGCUCUUGCCUCUUCCAUGAUGUUACACCGUGUUUGCUCUCCCUAUUGACUCUAAAACUACCUAUUGAUGAGUCUAACAGGUGGGUUGAUUUUCUCGGCUGAUACUAGUUGAAUUGCUGGCUUUUCGGUCAGUUAAUCAAUUAGAAUAGAGAUACAUGAUGCAAUGAGAACGGGAGUACAAAGAGACAAAUGGAGCAUCUUCGAGAUAUACAUAUAAUCAAUCGAAACGGUAUCGUAUGUUUUCGUAAAUAAUCGUAUUAGUUUUCUUUUUGUAAUUAUCAUACCUUCCGCUUGCUUGAAGCGAAAGUCUGUUUCAGAGAGUUUGAAAGAGAUAUUGACGUAUUUUUCUGAUAGAAAUAAAAUUCUGAAUAUAAACUCAAAUAUUGUGAUAAAUAGUUAGGAAUCUUAAAAAGUAUAUUAAAAGAUUAGUCGAUCGAUUUUAAUAUCUUCGGAAGAUUCUGAAGUAUGUUUAAUAAAAAUAAAAUAUCAGAGAUCGAAAUUUUUUAGGGAUCACUUUUUUUCAGUACCACCUCGUAAAUCGUUUAAUUCCAAUAACUAUGAAAUAUGCGGACAGAGCAAUUUAAAGGUGCUCGAAUAUUCACUUUGAUAUAUUGACAUUAUCAUUAUCGACAUUAUUUUCCAAGAAAUUCGACCUAAGUUGAAAUGUGACUCAUCUUUAUCCUCACUUUCCGCUUCUUCAUCUCCUAAAUUUCCAUUUUCUUUUCCUUUUUCUUCAACAUUGAUUAGCAGAACUUACUUUUUGGAAUCCUUGUGAAUCGUCCUGAUAUUUUCUUUAUCGUUCCCAAUCACCCGAACGGCAUUGAAAUAAACAUUAUUACGGUACAUAUAAUUUUCUAGUCAAUUGCUAUCCAAAUUAACAUUAGUUCGAUAUUCAAAGACACGGUCAACGUUAUUAGAGAUCCUUAUUUUCCCUUCUCGACAGCGUUGCAUACUUCUGAAGAUGGAACAAGUUGGAAUGAAAGAGGAUUCCGGAAUGAAAUCUUCUUUUCUACGCAGGAAUAUUUCCCCAAUAGAGAAAACAUUCACCUUUGAUCCACUAUCUGCGUGUACCGUCGGACAUCUCAUGGACAAACUUUCUGAACGCAAUCGAUUAUAUCCUCUUACCGAAGCAGCUUAACCUCGGAUCCUUUGCAGCGAGAUAUUUCCUAGCCUCCUACCACCGUUCGAACGUAGCUUUAUGAAACAAUACAACAUGGGAAUCGGGACGGUUCGUCGUCAUGACCAUUAAAAAUGUUUUCUUCCUAUAUCUCUUUCUGGUUAUUAUCGAUUACCUAACGAGCACGGUAUAAAAGAAGGUAUUAGGAGUAAGUUAAAGACAAGAACGAUGUUUCAAAAGGAAAUGUCUUGCUAUUGAUUCCUGCAUGAUCAUUUAUAGUAAUCCUUAGAAGCACUAGAAAAAUUUUGAAAGACGUUGAGAAUUUUAGAUAAUAAAAUAUCUCCGACCUAUCUCUAAUUCAUUGUGUGCUCUACAUGCAUGAGAUAUAUGGAUAUGUAUUUUUUUCCCCACUUUUUAAAAUUGGGCCUAUAAUGUGAAGUAUCCUGCACUGUCGAUGAAAUGUAACGAAAAACUGAAAAUUUCAAAGGACGAUUAGAUACUUCUCAUGCUGAUCACUUCGCCGAUUAUACAAAUUUUUAUUAUGGAAAAAAGAAAUCGGAAAAAACUAUUGUUUGCAUAAAUAACAUUUUCGGCCGACGUUUGACAGAUGGAAAUUACAAAUUUGGUUAAUAUUAACUCUUAAUACGGUGCGAUGAAUUAAUCGAAGCAGAAGCGUUUAUCACAAUAUACAGUAGUGUAAAGUGGAUCAUUAGAUAUGGGAGUCAAUAGGAAAUGGGAACAGUCAGUCGAAUUGAAACAGAUUGGUCCACAAACCUGUCUCCCCCCACACCAAUCUCUUGAGGAACGUUUGACCGCGGAAUAAGGAGUUUUGAUUGACUGGCCUAAAACGCAUCCCAAGAAUAACGCGAAAAGAAACAUAAAUAUAAUCAAUGUUUUUAUGUAAAUCUAUAUUCUUUUUCACUAUGUAAUAAAGAAAGAGAGAAGCUUGUUAACUUGAAUAAUACAAAUAAAACAGAAGAUAAUAUUACGAAACAAAUUUUCAAGCAAUAUUUCUUGCUGGACAUUAAUAUGUAUUUUUAAAUAUUUUAAACGAUAAAACUGGGAAAAAUAUUAAUAGUCGAUUAUCAAAAUUCUUUAGUUAAUUUCUAGUUGCAAAUUGUAAAGAACAGAAGGUAUGAAACAAAGAAAAGACCAGAAACAAAAAAGGAAAAUAAUUUCUCCAGUUAAUGGGAGUAUCAUUGAGAAGUUUUGCUUACUUACUUCCCACCCACGACAUUUCGGCUCUUUCUUUGACAUAAUACGUGGUAUUGAUUAACUGCAUAGAAUGUAAAUCUCUUUCCACCGAGCCACGCCUCGGAAAUUAGCUAGGUCAUCCAAGAUGGCGAUUUGCGGAAGAAACUCUCCCGCAGAAGUCAUCUUCUCAAUAAUUUUUGAAGGAGUAAUACGCAAAGGUAUACGAGACUAACCUAAGGCAAAAGCAAUUCCAAUUUCUGGGAAGUAUUGCAGAGGAUCCGUAUUGAACGAUAUCUGGAUUCUAAUUACGUCCAAAGAAGAUAUAUAGAUUUCAACUAAGCCCAAUGUGAUCAUUAAACAUUUGACAUCCAAAAUGAUACACUCUUCAAUUGGUACUUCCUGUUCUUCCUCACAUCCGACGAUUCGUUUUACUUGGCUAGUAGAAAUGUCCGAAAGUCAACGAGCGUAGGAAAUGGAAACGUUUACCUCUUCAGACUUAUAUUUAAAUGAGAUUUUAUCUUGGCAACGAGAAUAUUUCUGUUGAUUAGCAUUAUUGAAGCAUAUUGAAGCAGAAGCAUGUUUCAAGAGACAAUUGAAAAUUCUAACAAAGGAAGGAAUAUCAUUAGCUAUUGUCCAUGUAUGCAUUAUGUGAUUGUGAAUACCUAGGAAGAGGAAAAAGAAGAAAAGACAUACGUGCUUGACGACGAAGUUUCUAAAGCCCAAUAUGGCAAUGUUUUAUGAAGCUUGGAACAAGGGUACGAGGAAAUGGGAAGGACUUACCUUUUUCAAAGCAUCUAACUAUGAGCGGCUUUAGCUGGAGGGUAUAAGCGAUUGUGUUCAAAAAGCUUUGUCGAAGAGCCGUCCGACGUUCCAUGCGAGGUAAGGGUCAAAGGGGAAUUAAAAUUAAACUGAGGGAGGUUUAUAAUACAAAAUAAUUGAACAGACAGGGACGAUCAAAAGAUUCAUCUUUUUUCAAAGUAAUACCAUUAGCAGGGGAAUACUUUUAAAGUAAACGUGAAAUAGAAAGUCCACGUCACGUCAUUGUUAUUCCAUCGAUUUAAAUUAAGUAACAAUUCGAAAUAAUUAAAUGGGAGAAGUAUUGAAUUCUAUAUUUCAAACUGUUUGCCGUAACAUUCGCAACAUAUACUUAAAAGAUAUUCGUAAUAUUUAAUUAGCGUUUUUCUUAAAUAUUGAAAUUUGGACGAAAUAAUUGGGUGCGUAGCGCUAAUUACCCAUUUAGUAUGUUAUGAAAGGAAUUUCGUUAUAGUGGAUGUCCGUAAUACGUUCUCCCAUAUUUAUCGUCAAGUACCUUCGUUUAAACCUUUCUCCAUUAUCUCUCUCCAUGUACGUGUGCUCUGGUGCGCGUCUAUCCGCGUAAGGUCGAGUGGUUGGCAUUGAGUGUGCGUGUGUACGUAGAACUCCUGUCUUAUUUUGACAAUAAGGAAAGUAUUUUUUCAUUUAUUUUCCUGUCAUCAGACCAAGCGAACAAUAGGAGAUUGGCUGUAUUAUUCAGUUGCCUAUUUAGCUUCAUUGUUUGAUAGCACGCUUGCUUGAAUAUAGCAAUAGCCUAUAUUCUUAGGAACCAAUUGAUUUGGAACAUGAUAUACGAAAUAUUAGGUAAUUAGAAGUAUAAUGGGAUUAUUGUUUUGCAUUCUCCAACAGGGAGUAACUUUCUAGAACAAUUUACCCGUUCAUAUGGAAGAAUCAUAUCAGCCGUGGUAUAUCGAUCAGCAAAAGACAAAUUAAAUCAUACAGCUAAAUAGAUAAUUGAGUUAUACCGCUAAUCGUAUUAUCGCAUUCUGCUUGGUUUGAUGAGAGGAGAACUAAUGAAAAAAUACCAUCCUUGUUUUCAAAAUAUGAGUGGAGAUGUACGCAACACGCACACUCAUUUCCGUCCACUUGACUGGAGCACGUAAACGCGCAUGGGCACGGAGAGAGGUAGUAAUAAAUCGUUCAAUAUGAUGGUGCUGGACGAAAGGUAGGAGAGAAGGUAAUCCUCAACGAGCAAAUCGUUAAAUGCCGAUCGAUACCCAUUAACAAGGAAAUUUGUAGACAAGGAGGAUCAUAUAGUUUUGCAAAAAAAAAUCACAGUUUUGUCCAUUAUAAUUUUCUAUGAUAUGUGCGAUAAAUGUUGAAUCAAUUCUUUUCCAACAUUAUCAUCCCUCGCAUUAUGUGUGAGGUCUUUCCGUUUUAUUAUUACAUGACAUCAGUAUUACUGCUGUCGUUUUAUAUUUUUUAUAUUUUUUCCCGAUUAAUAUUUUUUUUUCUAACAUGUCUGUAUUAAUAUUUGUCUUGAAUCCAAAAUUCUCCUUCGAUAUUACUUAUGACACGAAACUAACUCAUGUUUGGAAAUUUUGCCAUUCUCUUAAUGAAAAAGAAAUGGGUAAUUAAAAGCUUGGUAGUCUCAAAUUGUAUAAACUCUCUUUAAGUGGUUGAAAGAAGCUUUCAGACCAUUGUGAACGAACUUCUUCGUAAAAUCGACUGAUAUACUUUUUAUAUAAUUUGUUUAUUUGACCAUUUCUUUAUUAACUAACUCAGUGGUUCUCUCGGUGGGGAAACACGGGAAAGAGGGGAAGGUAAUAUUAGGAAACCAUAAAUGUAACGAAAGACAUAGAGUACAAUAUUUACAUAAAGAUACAAAUAUAAUUACGUAACUAUAGGAGAGGGGAAAUAUUUAUCCCCAUGCGUUCUAGUUAGAGGAUUAGAAUCUAGAAUGCUUGGUCUUCUAACGUGACGACAUGGGAUUUUCCGACCCAGCAAGUGUGUCUCAUACGCGAAAUAAUCCCUAGUUGUCAUACGUACCAAAGAACAGCUUUACAAAUAAUACUAACGGUUUAAACACGAUUAGAUUCAGUAGAAAAUUUCAUUUCUAUAUCAUAGAAAUGAAAUUGAUUCUCUUGAUUCAUAGCAUUUUAAUUAUUAUUUUGUUGCGUUUAGGAAUAGUUGCUGUAGCAUUUAAAAGGCUUCAUCUUAUUUAUUUUCGGUAGUUAUACGAUUGAAAUAUAUCAAAUUAUAGCGAAAGUAUUAUGAUAUGUAUUAUGAAGUUACGGUACUCAUUAAGCACACAUAGUAUGUGUAUAUAAAUGUAGUAUAACAGCUAAUUGAGAUAAACUUCCAUAUAAUCCCCAUUUAAGGAGUGUAUACUGCCAUGUAUUUGUCUUUAUAAGAAAAUGUUCGUUCUUUACUUCGAUAUAUUACGGUAAACUUAAAUUCGAAAAAAAUUUAAUCCAAUGUACAUUUUCUUCGAAGAAUAAUUUCUUAUUUACAGUAAGAAAAUUUGCUACUUUCAUUUCCGUUUAAAGUUCUUCGACAUGUAUCUACUUAGCGAGAUUGUAAUCCAAUCUCUUUUCCAAUAAAUAAACAUUUAAUCUAUUAAAUAUAACUAGUAAGUAUAAGGUAGACUUACGAAAGAAGUAACAGUACGAAUUUCCUAUAUGAAUAUUCGAUUAAUUAGUCUUGAUAAUUACAAUAAUUAUUAUUAUAAUAGUUAAUUAUAUCAUAAAUAAUUACAGUUUUAUAUGAUUAUUUCAAUUAAAAAAUAGACGAAUUAUUGUAAGAUUCUCAUUAGGAAAUUCCAAGAUAUAUUACACAGAUCAUUUCGCGUGAACAUAGAAUAUAUAUACAUAUAAUUACAUAACUAUAGGAGAGGGGAAAUUAUUUAUCCCCAUGCGUUCUAGUUAGGGAAUUAGAUUUUACGAAGCUUGGUCUUCUAUCCUGCUAACAUGGGACUAAUAAAACUAGGUUAAGUCAUUCCUUCCGUGAUUUUCGACCCAGUAAUACGCAAGUGCGUCUCAUACGCGAAAUAAUCCCUAGCUAUCAUACGUGCCAAACAACAGCUUUACAAAUAAGAGAAACGAUUGAAACACCCUUUAUCACUGAUCAUUCUAUUAUUCCAUUAAUAUUCUUUAAAUUUAGCACUAUAUUUGUAUAAGAUUUAUUAGAAAAUUCCAUUUCCAUAUUAUAGAAGUUACCGGAUAAUUACUCCAAUUUGGGAUUCAUACCAUUUAGAAUAUUUGAGAUAAAUUCACUUAUAAAUAAUAAUACUUUCUUCGACUGCAUAUAAUCUACGAAAAUAUUCAAUAAAUUAUUAUAAAAUAAAUAGAUAUGAUAUAGAUUUUACAUUCCACAUUACAUUUUAGAAUAAAAAAUUUAUCUUACCUCUAAAACAUCUUACCAUUAAAUAAACACAGCAUUGAUUGAUUUUCCAUUUAAACAUAAAUGUAAAAAGGAAAAUGUUUCCAUAUAUUAAUCUCGUUGAUGGUCUGGCAUUUGUACUAUCCAUGUAAGACGUAUCGUCGGAUGUACGGAGGAACAGAAAGUGUCAACGGAAAUGUGUUUCACUUCGGAUGUGCAAUGUUUUAUUAUCUGGUGGAGCGUUGUUCUUCUUUGGAAUUACAAUUCAAAUAUAAGUCAGUUCGGCUCCUUUGCAAUACAUCCAAGCUAUUGGAACUGCUUUCAUCUUCGGUUAGUUUAGUAUAUUUCUGAAACAAUAUAAAAUUCGUAGAUUAUUUAAGACUUACGGUAGCCAUUCAAUUGUUCAUCUAAUUGCAUAUAAUUGCAAUAGUUCAUCUAACUCAAAAAUAAAUUUUGCUACAUCCUUUUAAGCGAUAUAAAGUACCUUUUCCGAAAUGCAGCAAACAAUAGUUUAGAUAGUAUUGAUCACGAAAAUACUUUCAUUUCCAUAAGGUAUACUUGAAAUUUUAUAAUAAAUCAAAAACUCAUGACUACCAACAAAUUUACUUUACAUUGAUAGUAUAAGCAAAUGACUAGUAAGAAUGAAGAAAUUGUUUCCACCGCCUGAAUUACUUGUAUAACGGAUCUCUGAAACGUAUGAAGUAUGCACGAACGAAUAUUUGUUGUACCACACUCGCUCGCGUAUUACUAGUUCGAUAACCACCGAAGGAAUGACAUGCAGCUUAUUCGCCGUCCGCCGAACGGCGGUAUAUGUACAGCGCACAUCGCUUGGGGUUGUUAACCGAGCGACCACGAGGGCGCCCUCUGCACAGGGUUGUUACAAUUGGGGUAGAUUAAUCAAUAUAUGGAAAGAAUCAAGAUGGUUAUAAGCUACGAGGAAAUGAAUUACUUUCGUUUCUUUUUCCCCUCCUUAUCUUUACAAUUUGAAAUUAGAUACUAAUUAAAAAAUUCUGAAAGUUGGCAAAUAUGUUUUUUCCUAUUUUUGUCGUUAAGAAUAUUUAUCAAUAAGAAUUAAUUUGGUGCAAAGAACAUUGUUUCACAAUUUUUCUUGUAAAAUUAUUUUCUGUUCUUUUUCUAUUACUUAAGAUAACAAUCUCUUUUUUACACAUCUGUCUUUAUUUAUAACGAUUGAUUCGACGUAAAUGAUUUGCAGGUGAAACGUUCUCCCAAACUUAUCGUUAAAUACCUUCAUACUGUACAAUUAUUAUGGUCUCUCUCCAUUCGUGUGCGUACUUUUGCGCGUGCGGGAUCGUAUUAAAGCAGAUGGGAUGAUUGGGCGAUGCUAUGGGCGUGUGUGCCUAUGAUUCCUCUCGUAUCUUGAAAAUGAGAAAGAUAUUAUUUCAUUUGUUUUCCUCUCAUCAAACCAAGCAGACAUUUGGAUAAUACGAUUACCUGUAUAAUUUAGAAAUCUCCUUAGAUGGAUGAUUUAAUUACCCUGUUAAGUCUUUUACUUUACUUUACCACUGAUUUAGUUCUGAUAUAGAAACGUCUACAUUUCCCUAAAAAUUUACUCCCGAUUGGAGAAUUUAAAAAAUUAUCUAAUUUUACUUCUAGUUAUGCAAUAUUUCUUAUACUAUGUUCCUUACUAAUUAGUUCCAAGCGAAAUAUUAUAUUUCUCUAAUCUUUUAUUUCUUAUUUCGUACAACUGAGUAUAACAGAGAUUAUAUUCUAUUUCUAGUAACAUGAUAUUCGUAUUUUCCGAAUAUAUUAACUGAAUGUUUCAAAUUCUCAAUAAGCGCAUAUAUAAUCUAACAUUGAUAUAAUAAUUGCCCCAGUACAAUAGAGAUUCAUUAUACUUAUUAAUGUUAUUAUUAUUAUAUCAACACAUAAGUUAUAAAUGGUGUAGAAAGAGAGCCUUUUCAUGAAAUUAGCCCUCCUUCGGUAUACAGUUCUUUAAAUUCGAAAAGGAGAUAUGUAACAUUAGAUUUAACAACGUAUAAUGAUUAAAAGGAAUAGGGGGGAUCAAAAGAAGAAAAAAGAAUCAAAAGGAGAAAAGAAGGAUAAUACGUAAAAGAGAUCUCCCCUUUACGGUAGUAAGGAUCCGAAAUUAUUAGGAACAUUUCGAAGGGAUUACUAGGGAUGAUACCCUCUUUAAUACACGAAAAAAAGCGAGUGGAAACAGUACACGCUCCAACAAUUAGAGAGCUUACUACCUAUAUGCAGUAGUUGAAUAAGCUAUUUAUUCUGAAUGGAGUCGAAAUCUUCAUUCAGGCAAGUUUCUAAGAGUUUCUUAAGAGGGGUGAUCCAGAAUAAAAAAUGAGCUCCCAAUUAGUCGCCAUAAUGGAAAUCAUUUAUAUCAUUUUAUGCUCUCGGAUAGAUAAAUCAUAUUUGAAUUUUAUACCGUUUAAGAUUAACGCAAAAAUUCAUUUUCAUUUAUUAUUAUUUUUUUUUUUAUUAACAUAUUAUAUACAAACGCAUAAUUCUGUAUACAUAUCUAUGACCUAUAUUCGCGAUGCUACAUUAUAGACCAUAGUAUUGGAAAGUUGUAUAGUUUUUUAUUAUUAUUUUGCACUAUAUUUUACACUGUGCAAUUUCUCUUCGGUAUACUAUUGUAUAAUAUUGAACAAAGAAGAAAGUACAAUUGGAGUUAUCGGAUAUAGGAUAUUUUUGUUUAGACGUUUAUACGAUUAUAUCGUAUAAUCGUAUAUAGAGCCAAUUUGUACAGCUGUUGGCUACUACAUGAUAUUAUUGCGUGUUUGCGAUCCCUAUGAUACUACUUAGUGACGAGUCCGACAGACUCGUUGAUUUUCUUGAGUGAUACUAGCUGAAUUGCUUGCUUAUCGGUCAGUUAAUCAAUUAAAAUAGACUGACAAAAAAAAUUCGACGUAUAAUGUAAAGUAUUAUGUCACUGUCGAUGAAUUUUAAGGAAAAAUUGAAAAUUUCAAAAGACGAUUAGAUACUUCUGAUGUUGAUCACUUCGCCGAUUAUAUAAUUUAUAUUAUGCAAAGAAAAUUGAAAAAAAAAAUAUUAUUUGAAUAAAUAAAAUUUUUGGUCGACGUUUGACAAAUGAAAAUUCAAAAUGUAGGUAAUAACGUUCACAAGAUAUUGUAAUUAUGAGAAAAUUUCAGCAAUAAAAUUAAUUCCUUUUCAUUUAAUAUUAUCCAUUAAUAGGGCGCGAUGAAUUAAUUGAAGCGAAAGCGUUAUUACACUAUGCAAUUAUACAAUGUGGAUUAUUUCAUAUGGUAGUUCGCAGCAAAGGGCAACAGUAAGUCGGCUUAAGAGGGAUUGGUGGACAAAUCCGGUUCUCCCCACUCACAUCAUGUUCAGCUCUUUCAACCGCGGAAUAUGAAGUGUCGAUUGAACUGCGUAAAGCCCAUUCAAAUGAAUUACGCGAAAAGGAAAAUAAAUAUAGCCAAUGAUUUUCUCUGAAUCCAUAUUUUUUGGCACUGUGUAAUAAAGAAAGAGAGAAGCUUGUUAACUUAAAUAACGCAAAGAGAAUUAGUAAUAUUAAGAAACAAAUUUUCAAGCAAUAUUUCUUGCUCGAUAUUAACAUUUAUUUCUAAAUAUUUUAAACGAUAAAAAUGGGAAAAAUAAUAAUAGUCGAUUAUAAAUAUUCUUUAGUCAAUUUCAAAAUUGUAAAUUGUAAAGAACAGGAAUGAAAAAGAAACCAGAAACAAAAAAAAGAAAAUAAUUUGUCCAGUUAAUGCGAGUUCAUAGUGAAAUUACUUCCUUCAGUCCCACGACAUUUCGGUUCUUUCUGUUGCGUAGUACGCGGUAUUGAUUACCUUGCAUAAAAUGUAAUGGCUCCUACCAUCGAGCCCUGCCUUGCAGAUCAGCUCGGUCAUCCGACGAGGCAGUCUGGUGGAGGAACUCCUCUGCGGAAGUCAUCCUUUCAAUAAUUUUUGAUCGAGUAAUACGCAAGUAAGUGACAAAUAAUAGCGUCUAUACGUCUAUAUAAUACUUCAUUCGUCCCAAGGGAAACUUACAAGCAAUCCAAACGAGAUAUACCAGGUUAAACGAAAGCGAAAGCAGUUUCAAUAGCUUAGAAAUAUUGCAAAGCUGCACAAUUGACUGCAUGAUUAUUAAAUAUUCGACAUUCGAAAUGAAACACAUUUACUUUGGCAGUCCUUGCUCUUCCGUAUAUCCGACGAUAGGUCGUUUAUGGAUAGCAUGAAUGUCGGACCAUCAAACAGAUUAAGAAAUGAAACCGUUUUCCUUUUUAAUCUUAUAUUUAAAUGGUCGAUCAAUCAAUGUUGUAUUUAUCGAAUGAUUUUAUGAUGACGACGCGAGUAUUUCUCUUGAUGAGAGGGACAUUAGGUCUCUUAACUAUAGCUAUCCCGAAUAUUGUAGUAGUGUAUAUAAAUCAGGAACCUACAUAUUUAUUAACUAAUGUAAUGAAAAAUAUUAUAUAUAUGGGAAGCAAGAUGCUCCAUGAAAGAGAGGAGAUCAUAAAAGCAGAGGAGGAAGCUGAUGCUGCUCACGAAUUUAUUACAAAUCUUCCAAAUGAUCUGGUAGGCAAGUUAGUGAGGGAAUCACCUAAUUAUCUGGUUUAUGGAAACAACAUGUUUCUAUUGCUAUAGCAUUACUAUAGCAACCAUCGACAUCAAUAUUGAAUUUUAAUACACGAGUGCAUUGAAUCGUGAAAGCAGAAGAGUGGUCCAAGAAGUUGGAAAUUCGAACUGAAGAAGGAACAUCAUUAGCUACUGCUCUUGCGUGCAUUAUGUGAUUGAGAAUACCUAGGAAACGGAAAAAGGAAAAAGAACAUUUGUGUCUUUCCGACGAAAUUUGGAAAAACCAAUAUGGCAUUGUUUUAUAAAGUUUGGAACGGUGGUACGAGGAAAUGGUUGGGAUUUACCUUCUUCAAAGGAUCCAAACGUGAGCGGCUUUAGCUGUAGGCUAUAAGCGACUGUACUGAGAUCGAUUUGUCGACCUUCCACGCAGGGCCAGGAUCAAAUAGGAAUUGAAAUGAAACUGAGGGAAGUAUAUCAUACAUAAUAAUUUAACAUACAGGGACGAUCAAAGGAUUCACUGUUAACAGGGAAAUACUUUUAAAUUAUACGUGAAAUGGAAAAUCCACGUUCACGUGAUUUUUAUUCCAUCGAUUCAAAUUAAGUAAGCAUUCGAUAUUAUUAAGAAAGGAGAAAUGCUGAAUUCUGUAUUUGAUAUUAUUUCUCAUAACACUCACGACAUGUACUUAAAGAAUAUUCGUAAUAUUUAAUUAGCGUUUUUCUUAAAUAUUGAAAUUUGGACGAAGAAUUCGGUAGCACAAAGUAUCUGUUUUUAAUACGUUCUCCCAUAAUUAUCGAGAAAUACCUUCGUUUCAAACCUUUCGGUAUUAUCUCCCUCAAGUGCACGGCUAUCUGCGGCGGUUCGAGUAGCCGGGGAUGAGUGAGCGGUCCUGCGUGCGUUUAUGCGAACAACCCCUAUUUUACCUUCAUAUAAUUGGAGAUUAGCUCUAUAAUUACAUUACCUAUUUAGAUUCAUCGUUUGAUAGCACGAUUACUUAUUUUGCAGAGUAAUGGAUUAUUUUCUUAGGAACAAUUUGAUUUGGAACAUAAUAUACGAAACAUUAGAUAAUUAGGAUUAUUUUUUUGCAUUCUUUAAUAGGGAGUAAAUUUCUAGGAAAGUGUUUCGGUUCAUAUAGAAAAAUUAAAUCAGUCGUGGUACAUUGACGUCCAAAUUAUCCAGGUAACUGCAUGAUAUAGCUAAAUGGAUAAUUGAAUUAUACAGCUAAUCUUAUUAUCGAAUUGUCUGCUUCGUUUGAUGAGAGGGAAACUCAUGAAAAAAUACCUUUCUUGUUUUUAAAAUAAGAGAAGUGAUGUACGCAGAAACGCCCACUUAUUCCCGUCCAUUCGAGCUGCACUUGAAAAGCGCGCACGGAGAGGAACAACAAUGCAUCGUUUAAUAUCAUGGUGCUUGACGAUAGGUACGCGGGAAGGUUUUGCGUACGCACAGAUCGUUAAAUUCCGAUCAAUACUCGUUAACAGGGAAAUUUGUAGACGUGAAGGAUCAUAUAUUUUUGCAAAAAAGAGCAAAAUUUUGUCCUUUAUAAUUUUUCACGAUUCUUUUCCAACAUUAUCAUCCCUCGCGUUAUGUAUGAGAUCUCUCCGUUUUCUUGUUGGAUGUCAUCACUAUCACUUCUAUCGUUUUCUUCCGAAUUAAUAUUCAUUUUUUUCUCACCGUGUAAAUGGAAUUCCUCUUCGGUAUUACUUAUAGCACGAAACUCACUCGUGUUUGGAAAUUUUGCGAUUCUCUUAAUGAAAAAGAAAUAAGUAAGUAAAUGGAUUGGUAGUCUCAAAUUGUAUAUUACGACAUCACGGAAUGAUACAUAACAAUAAUAUAAUACUUUCCUGGUUUCCUGACUAAUUAGUCGAGGGAUCUAUUUAUACUACUCGAAGUUUCAAUACGAAGUGAGCUCAGCUUUGAAAAUCUCUUUCCCUCCUGUUUUAUGAAUACUCGUUUACUUCAUCAAAUAUCACUAUAUCGUACGAGGCAUACUCAUGUACUAUUACAAACAAUCGCUAAAAAAUUCAUCGCUCUCUUUAAGCAGGCUAGAUAAGCAUCCAGACCGUUGUGAACGUACUUCUUCUUCAUAAAAUAUAAAAGUAUAAAUUAUAAAUGUUUUAGGAAGAUAGCCUUUCCAUGAAAUAAUCUUUCCUUCUGAAUAGAAUUUUCUGAUUCUACUUUCUUGGUAAUGUCAAUAUUCUCUUUACGAAAAAUAAAUAAAUUUGAAUAACCAAAUACCACAAAAAGGUCACUGCCCCAAAACGGGAUAAACAAAAUUAGAUAUUUACAAAGUAAAAUGAUCGAAAGGAUAUGAAUAUGCAGAAUGAUUCAUAGGAGGAUACAAAGGCAGAGAAAUAAUCAAAAAGAAACGCAUGAAUGAAAAUUAAAAAAAGAAUUAUCCUCUACGAUAGUUUCGAAUUAAUAAUAAAAAGAGUAGAAAAAAUGAGUAGGAAAAAUAGUAGAAAUAAAUUUAUUAAAUAUUUCAAUCUAUCGCGUUAAAUCUAUCUAUAUAUUAAUCUAUCGUAUCUAUUGGAAUGCAUUACAAGAUGUUGAUCCUCAAUCUUGUAGGCUUCAAUGCAAAUUCUCGGAAGACUCAAAUGAAAGAAAAUCCAAAAUAAUAUAUAAGCCACCAAUCAGUCGCGAUAAUCGAUUGUGUAUCAUACAUAUCAAUUUAAACAAGAUGCUCUCAUAUUUGAAUAUUUUGUUUCGACCUAUCAACCUGAAUGUUUGGUCGAGGGUUAUUUUUUUAUACAGUCAGUUGCAAAAGACGUAAUUAUUAAUAGAGGGACAUAGAGCUAUCUUCGGUAGUCAUUUUUAAGUUGAUUGCAUAUUGUUUUUCAUUUGAGUCUUCCGAGAAUUUGCAUAGAUGCCUACAAGAUUGAGGAUCAACAUCUUUUAAUGCAUUUCAAUGAUUACGAUAGAUUGAUAUAUAGAUUAGAUAUUUAUGACAAGCUUUCUUCUUUUACACACUUCAUUGCUUUUUGUUUCUAUUAGUAGAAAAUUAUAUAAAAUAAAAUAUAAUAUAAUUAUAAUUAUAUAAAAAAGUUUCCUUUAUAAUACACGGACGUCUAUAUCAUCAGGAUCAGAAGUGUUACAGUUCUUUGGUUUUAUGCAACUUAAUAUGGGAAACCAAUUUCUAUGGCCAUUGUCUCCAAAGCAAUAAGAAUAUGAUACGAUCAAAUUAGAAAUUUAAAGCAGAAUUUUCACAAAUAUUUCUAUUAUAAUUAUUACUCGCCGCUAAUCAAGAAAAUGAAGAAUUACUUACAGCAGAUUGCCAGGAAUAGAAUAUACUCGUCGUAGCCAUUAAUAUUCCUCUUUAAUGGUUCCUUGAAUUAUGUGCUCGACUCUCCUGGACGUGUAUAUUUCUAUCCUCUUGAUAUUUUAUUCUGUUAAACACACUUCAGAGUUUUCUGAAAAUAUGAAAAAUGUUCAAUUAAUCUUUUACUAUAUUUUCUCAGCAUCCUAAUUAUUUAUUUAAAAAUUAGGAUCCAUAUUCAGAAUUUUAUUUUUAUCAGAAAAAAUGUCAGAAUCUCCUUAAAACAUUCUCAAAUGAACUUUCGUUUCAAUCAAAUGGAUGAAAAACAAAAACUAAUAGGUUUGAUCGCAAAAGCAAACGAAACCGGAUAUGUGUCUCGAAGACAACUCGUCUCUACGUUCAUCUCUUUGUAUUCUUAUCAUGGACUCAUGCAUCUCUAUUCUAAUUGAUUAGCUGCCCGGCAAACAAGCAAUUACUAGUUUCAGACAAGUAUUAAAGAGGAAUAUUAAUGGCUAGGACGAGUAUAUUCUAUUCCUGGCAAACCACUUAGUUUGUUGGACUCGUCAACAGGUAGUACCACUGAGACAGGAAAUACGGAGUAGUAACGCGAGAUACCAAGCACAUGUGCAACAGUUGGCUCCAUAUACGAUUAUCCGAUUGGUUCGUAUAAAUGUCUAAAAUGAAAUAUCCUAAUUCCGAUAACCCUUAUUACGCUUCCUCCUCGUUUUAAUUUUAUAAAAUAAUUCAAAAUUAUGCUACAAGUAAAAUAUCAAUCACUGGUAAAAUAUAGUAUAUAAUAAUAAUAAAAAUAAAUUAACCACAGCAUUAAAAAAUAAUAAGAAACUACGCAAUUUUCUAUAAUCUUCUAUAAAACAAUAUAUCGUAGUAUUAGAUAUGAACUUGUAUUGAAAUCAUUUUCAUAAGAUUUUGUUCUUUAUAUUGCAUGCUAUAGGCAAUAGGAUAAUUUUAUAUAUCUAUCUAUGAGUUUAUGUUAAUGGCGUUAUGUUAUGCCCUAAAAGUUCUAAUUAUAAAUGGAGGCAGAUUUAUAUUCGCUAAUACUUAGGAAGUUCAUUACAUUCUGUUUAAAAUUAUUAUAAAUAUUUUCUCUUUUAUCUACUACGUUUCUGAAUGGAAUUUUCUUUAUUCUUUUCAGUCGAAAGGCGCAUUCGAUACAUCUAUUAUUAUAUAUAUGUAUCGAUUUAUAUUUAUAUAUAUGUUCACUUAUCCAUCUGUUUUUUCUAUAAUGCCUUACUUACGAUGUAUAUAUUAGAGGCAAACUACGAGCGCAUAUAUUUAUAUUUUUAUCUAUUAUUUCGUGAAUUAUCUGUGCCGUCUUAAUAAUUAAGAAGGAUGUAAAUAGAUGGAAGUUGAAAAAGAAAAUUGAAAGAUAAGAAAGUGAAAAUAGAUAUUUAAAUUCAAGAAGAAAAGAAGCGAACGAGUGUGCAUUAGGAAAGUGAAUCAGUUGAUAUCGAAUUCAUAUUUUCAUAUAGUUGUUUAGGAUGGAUUAUUUGUAAUUAAAUUUUUGAUAAAUAUUUACUUCUUCGGAAUAUGAAGACAAAAUUGACCGAAAAAAAAAGAAUAAAAUUAAAAGCUAAUCGACAAAACUUGAAGCAAUUUAUUUUUAAUCGAGGCAACAUCGUGUUCAGACAAAACUCUAAGAAAGAAAAGAUAAUUAGCAUGAACAUUGGCUGCAUAACUUUCGAAGUAUUAGCGAAUAUAAUUCUGCCUCCAUUUAUAAUUAGAACUUUUAGGGCAUAACAUAACGCCACUUAUAUAAACUCAUAGAUAGGUAUAUAAAAUUAUCCUAUUGUUUAUAGCAUGCAAUAUAAAGAGCAAAAUCUUAUGAAAAUGAAUCUUCGCGUUGGUUAUUCAAAAACUUAAAUAAGAUGUAACUUAUCAAGAACAUAAAGAAAAAUAUCAUCGAAUCCCAUUACCGAAUCCAAUUAUGUAGCCAAUGUUCAUGCUAAUUAUCUUUUCUUUCUUAGAGUUUUGUCUGGACACGAUGUUGCCUCGAUUAAAAAUAAAUUGCUUCAAGUUUUGUCGAUUAGCUUUUAAUUUUAUUCUUUUUUUUCGGUCAAUUUUGUCUUCAUAUUCCGAAGAAGUAAAUAUUUAUCAAAAAUUUAAUUACAAAUGAUGCAUCCUAAACAACUAUAUGAAAAUAUGAAUUCGAUAUCAACUGAUUCACUUUCCUAAUGCACACUCGUUCGCUUCUUUUCUUCUUGAAUUUAAAUAUCUAUUUUCACUUUCUUAUCUUUCAAUUUUCUUUUUCAACUUCCAUCUAUUUACAUCCUUCUUAAUUAUUAAGACGGCACAGAUAAUUCACGAAAUAAUAGAUAAAAAUAUAAAUAUAUGCGCUCGUAGUUUGCCUCUAAUAUAUACAUCGUAAGUAAGGCAUUAUAGAAAAAACAGAUGCAUAAGUGAACAUAUAUAUAAAUAUAAAUCGAUACAUAUAUAUAAUAAUAGAUGUAUCGAAUGCGCCUUUCGACUGAAAAGAAUAAAGAAAAUUCCAUUCAGAAACGUAGUAGAUAAAAGAGAAAAUAUAUAAAUUAAUUUUAAACAGAAUGUAAUGAACUUACUAAGUAUUAGCGAAUACAAUUCUGCUUCCAUUUGUAAUUAGAACUUUUAGAACUAUUUGUAAGAAAACAGGUAGUACUUAAUGAGGCAUUACGAUUCAUAGAUUGAAACACACUUUUAUGACAACCCUAUAAUUAGAAAAAUAUGGAAUCAUGUAUCUCUAUUCUAAUUGGUUAACUGACCGGCAAAGCAAUACAACUGGUUUCAGACAAGCAACUCAACUGAUAUGUUUGACUCGUCAAUCGAUAGUAUCACCGAAAUACCAAAUACGGAAUAAUAUCACGAAAUAUCCAACACGUGUGCAACAGUUGGAUCCAUAAACGAUUAUUCGAUUGGUUCGUAUAAAAGUCUAAAAAGAAAUACCCGACAACCCUAAUUACGCUUCCUUCUCAGUUUAAUUUUAUACAAUAAUUCAAAAUUAUGCAACAAGUAAAAUAUCAAUCACUGGUAAAAUAUAGUAAGUAAUAAUAACAAAGAUCAGUUAACCAUAGCAUGAAAAAAUAGUAAGAAACUAUGCAAUUUUCUAUAAUCUACCAUAAAACAUAUUAUCGUAGUAUUGGAUAUGAACUUGUAUAAAAUAGGGCAUAACAUAACGUCAGUAAUAUAAACUCCUAGAUAGAUAUAUAAAAUUAUCCUAUUGUGUAUAGCAUGCAAUUUGGAACAGAAUCUUAUGAUAAUGGAUCCUCGCAUUAAAUAUUAUAAAAUUCAAGUAUGAUUCUACUUAUCAAGAACUUGAAAAAUGUAUCGGGUGAUUCCCAAAAUCGAUUUCAAAUAUGCGGCCAAUUUUCAGAUAUUACGGUUUGUAUGCUAAUCAUCUUUUCUUUCUUGGAGUUUCGUCGCUCUGGACUCGUUACCGUGUCCAUUAAAUGUUAAUUGCUCUAACUUUUGUCGAAUAGCUUUUAGUUUCUUGUUUUUCUGUUAAAUUUUGUCUCCAUAUUUAGAAGAAGCACGUAUUUAUCAAAAAUGGAGGAUCCAUCUAUGCCAAUAUACACAAAUAUAGGAAAAUAUGAAAUUGAGAAUGAGUCCACUUACCUAAUACAUAUAAGCUUGCUUCUUUUCUCGAUGUCUCUUUUUUUCUUUAAUAUUAACUUCAUUUUUUAUUUUGACUUAUUUUUCAAUUUUCUUUUUAAUUUUACAUCCGUGGUUUACUGAUAUUCGUAUGACAUAUAUGUAUACACAUACGUCUAUAUAUAUAUACAUACAUAUAUGUAUAUAUAUUUUACAACGCACUGCUUAUGUUAUACGUAUUGAAGGCAAAUUAUGAGCUUAUUUAUUUAUACAUUUAUCUAUAUCCAUAUGAUUCUCAGAAAUAUAUAAAGAGUAUAUCAGUUUAUAGGCAAAUAUAUAAAUAAAUAUAAACAUGAACAUUAGACUUUAGUACAUACAAAGUACACAGUGCGGUGAAAUAUAUAUAUAUGUGUGUAUAUAUAUGCAUGUAUUUACGUAUAUAUCGAAUCAGUCUACCAUCUGAAAAGAAUAGAGAAAAUUUCAUUCAUAAAUUUCAUUCAAAAGAAAAGAGAAAAUAUAUAAACUAAUUUUUAACAGAAUGUAAUGAACUUACCAAGUACUAGCACAAAUAGUUUUAACUCGAUUAAUAAUUACGCCUUGCAGGACUAUCUGUAAGAAAACAAAUAGUACUUAAUAACGCAUUACGAUUGAUAGAUCGAAACACAGUUUUACAAGCCGAUAAUUAGAAAAGGAGACUCAAAUAUUAACAUUCCAAGGGAUAUUUAUAUUAUUCCAAACAAUUCACUAAGCUUUAGUUCAAAUAACGCAAAUUAUAAUAUUUCCUCUGGUUAAUAUUAUACAAUAAUAUACCCAAGACAAAUUACUAGAUAUAAUAUAUAGUGCAAGAAAAUGAUAAACUAUACAACUUUCUAUAGUAUAUUAUAAAACGGUAUAUCGUAGUAUUGAACACAAAAUUGUAUAAAAUAUAGUAUAAUGCGUUAAUAUCAAGUAGCAUAAAAUUCAAAUAGGAUUUCACUAACCGAUAGCGCGUUUUUUAUAAUCUUCCAGAUAAGUAACAUUAUCGCGAUGGACAGGAACUUACAUAUUAUUCUAAUUCGUCCCUCUCUUGAAACCUCCAGGAAGAUGCUUGUAGGAUGAUUCGAAACAGAAUAAAUAGUUUAUUCAACUUCCGCGGACAGCUCCUAACAUCUUUUAUAUUGACUCGAGCAUGCGCUGUUUCGUUUAAUCCCCUCUUUUUCAUAUUUUCACGAUCCCCAAUUAUCUCUUCACAAUGUUACCAACAGUUCUGGAUCGAUAUUAGCGUAAAAGGAAGAUUUCUGUUUGCUUUUAUCUCUGUUUUUUCUUCUUGAUUCUUUUUUCUCCAUUUGAUUCCCCAUGUGAUUCUCCAUACUCAUAUCUUUUCGAUCAUUUCACGAUGUAAAAAUCGAAUUGCGUUUAUCCACUUUCCGAUGAGGAAAAUUUUUUUGGCAUUUAAUUAUUCAUAUUUAUUUAUUUUGUGCGAAGAGAAUGUUGACAUUACCAAGAAAGUAGAAUUCAGAAUAUUGUAUUUAAAAGGAAUAGUAAUCUCUGGGAAAAUCUCUUCCUACAAUAUUUAUAACUGAUGAUUUGUGCGAUGUAAAUCGGUUGACCGAAUAACGAUGGCUAGAAAGAAGUAUAAUAGAUCUUUACUAUGUUAGGGAAAUAUUAUGUAAAUGUUUAUUAUAUGUACGCUUAUCGAGAUAUUUAAUCAUCCGAGUAAAACAUUAGGAAAAUGCUGAAUAAAUUAGAAAUAUUAUGUUACUAGAUAUAUAAGUAUGUCGUUGCUAUACUGGGUUAUACGUAAUGAGAAAUAAACGAAUCGAUUAAGAUAACAUUUUCCGAGGAACUAAUUAGUUUGGAAUAUAUGAUAUAUUAGAUAAUUGGCAGUAUAAGUGGAUCGUUCUUUGAAAUUUUCCUAUCGGGAAUUAAUUUUUCGGAAAAAGUAUUCCUUCGUAUGAAAGAACUAAAUUAGUUGUGGUACAUCGAUCUGCUAAUUAAUUAAUGCAGCUAAAUAGCUAAUUGAAAUACACUGCUAAUCGUAUUAUCGCAUUGCCUGCUUAGUUUAAUGACAGGAGAACGAACGACAAAAUAUCUUUCUUCUUUUGAAAAAAUACCUUUCGUCAAAAUAAGCGAGGAGAUAUACGCACGCACACCCACAGAACCGCGGACAUAUUCCCGCUUACAUGCCCUAGCGCGGAUGAGAGAAUAUAAGAGCGUAAGUGUGUGGAGAAAGAUAAUAACAAAUUGUUUAACACGAACGUACACGACGAUACGUAUGGAAGAACGUAACGUAUGCAUGCAUUUUCAUUAAAUCUCAAUCGUAAGAUAUUUGCGCUACGUAAUAAUUUAGUUCGUCCAAAUACCUAUAUUUCUGAAAAACGUACAUUAUACAUUAUUUUUAAGUACAUAACGUGAAUAUUCUGACAAAUAAUUUGGAACAUUGAACCAAACACUUCUUCUCUUUUUAAUUAUAUUGAAUAAUAAUAUAAACUGACGGUAUAACGAUGACACGGUGAGAUAAACGUACACUACAUAUUAACGCAUAAUUUAAAAGCGUGUCCAGGCUAACGUUAUUAUCCCGAAGAACAAUGAAUACUUUGAUCGUAUAUGCAGCUUUGAUCAUUUUCAAUGAUAAAGCUGCCUGAAUACCAUUUCAGUUCCAUUUGAAUCCAGAUUCCCUUUGCAACGACAAACAACCCUACGAUGAAUCUUUCCCAUAACACUCCAUUAUAUCCUCUAUCUAAAGCCACUUACUUUGAAUCCUUUCAAUAACGUAUAUUCCGUAUCCUCGUACCACCAUAUGAAUGAAGCUUUGUAAUACAGCACUAUUUUAAUUGAGGAUUACCUUGAGGCAAUACCAUGAGGAUCGUCGUGAACACCAUUAUAAAUGUUUGUCCUCUUCCUCCUCUUCGUCCUCUUCUUCCUUGUUAAUUGCAACCACGUAAUGAAGACGCUAUGGAACAUAAUUAUGCGGAUCACGUUUGAAAAGGAAAUGCCUUCCUUUCGAACCCAGCACGUUGAUUAUUACUACAGCUUAGAAAUACCAAAUAUGUUUUGGAAACCGUCGGUAAUUGUACAUAGUAAAAUACCGCCGAUCGAUAUUAUAUAAUUCAGUGUCCGCACAUAAGAUAUAUGGAUAUGUAUUUUUCUUUUCUUCCUUUUUUUAAAUUCGAGCUAUAAUAUAAAGCGGCAUGUCAUUGCCUAAAAACUGUAACAAGGAACUAAAAAUAUUAAAUAACAACCUUUUUAGAUGAUAACACUGGUGAACAACUUCGAAAGUCAAUUGCUUGACAUUCCAUAAUAGAUGAUGAAUAUGUUUUUGACGUAGGAUUCUUUGAAAAUAUUCUCUUAUAAAUGUAUUUGUUCCUGUAAAGUACUAUGUAUAAGGAUCAUAAUAAGAAAACAGAUACUCCUCAUUGUGGUCACUUCACACAUCAUAUUAUUUUUAUCAUGACCAAAAAAGAUAUUGUUUACAUGAACAACAUCUUUGGCUGAUUUUGUCACUUAGUAAUUAAAAAUAUGUAUAUUAACGCCCGCAAGAUAUUUUUAUUAUGAGGGAAUAUUAAUAAGAGAAUUAAUUUCGUUUCAUGGAAUGUGAAUAUUUGGUUGGGUGAGAUCAAUAAAAAUGAAGCAGAAGCAUUUGUAACAAUAUUCUGUUAUGGAAUAUGGAUAUGGUAGUAAAACAGAAAUCAUAAUAUGUCAAAUUAAAAGAGAUCGUUAGAGAAGUCUUAAUUAAUUUCAUCUUCUACCUUUUCGUCUGUGAAAGCAAUAAAGAUGCAUAGAGUGUAAAAACUCUGUCUGUUCGGCACCCUCUCGGAUGUUGACUAUCGGCUUACGUAAUAUAAUAUAUCGUGACCGUGAAACUAACUAAUAUAUUGUAAUGAUAUUUGAUUUAUAUGAAUUUGUAGGUAUUGAAGAGCAUAUUUCAUUACAAGAUAUUAUCCCUUAUAAUUUUCUACGAUAUCUGUGAUAAGCUUUGCAGGAUUUUCAUCCUUAUCAUCGUCUAUGAGAUUUUUCCUGUUUUCAUAUACGGUGGUAUCACUAUCACUGUUACCGUUUUUUUCUGGAUUUAUACUUGUCUUUUUGGAAUUGCUCUUCACUACUUAUAUCUUAUAUCAUGUAAUGUAGUCGUGUUUGUACACUUCAUUAUUGUCCUAAUAAAAAAAAAAAAAAUGAGUA